RNAcentral lists this ribosomal RNA (726 nucleotides) under Salmonella enterica subsp. enterica. RNAcentral's name for it is "bacterial LSU rRNA". It matches the Rfam family "Bacterial large subunit ribosomal RNA", at positions 1 to 760 of the family's 2925-position model. Lineage: Bacteria; Pseudomonadati; Pseudomonadota; Gammaproteobacteria; Enterobacterales; Enterobacteriaceae. The record is from RNAcentral.
GGGUUGUGAGGUUAAGCGACUAAGCGUACACGGUGGAUGCCCUGGCAGUCAGAGGCGAUGAAGGGCGUGCUAAUCUGCGAUAAGCGCCGGUAAGGUGAUAUGAACCGUUAUAACCGGCGAUACCCGAAUGGGGAAACCCAGUGUGAUUCGUCACACUAUCAUUAACUGAAUCCAUAGGUUAAUGAGGCGAACCGGGGGAACUGAAACAUCUAAGUACCCCGAGGAAAAGAAAUCAACCGAGAUUCCCCCAGUAGCGGCGAGCGAACGGGGAGGAGCCCAGAGCCUGAAUCAGCAUGUGUGUUAGUGGAAGCGUCUGGAAAGGCGCGCGAUACAGGGUGACAGCCCCGUACACAAAAGCGCAUGUGCUGUGAGCUCGAUGAGUAGGGCGGGACACGUGGUAUCCUGUCUGAAUAUGGGGGGACCAUCCUCCAAGGCUAAAUACUCCUGACUGACCGAUAGUGAACCAGUACCGUGAGGGAAAGGCGAAAAGAACCCCGGCGAGGGGAGUGAAAAAGAACCUGAAACCGUGUACGUACAAGCAGUGGGAGCACCCUUUGGGGUGUGACUGCGUACCUUUUGUAUAAUGGGUCAGCGACUUAUAUUCUGUAGCAAGGUUAACCGAAUAGGGGAGCCGGAGGGAAACCGAGUCUUAACCGGGCGUUAAGUUGCAGGGUAUAGACCCGAAACCCGGUGAUCUAGCCAUGGGCAGGUUGAAGGUUGGGUAAC